Molecule: small nuclear RNA, 107 nt
Organism: Balaenoptera ricei (Rice's whale)
Lineage: Eukaryota; Metazoa; Chordata; Mammalia; Artiodactyla; Balaenopteridae
Source: RefSeq, a predicted model, not a curated record
GUGUUCAUUUCGGCAGCACGUAUACUAAAAAUGGAAUGAUACAGAGAAGACUAGCAUGGCCCCUGUGCAAGGCUGACAUGCAAAUUUUUGAAGCUUUCCAUAUUUUU